CCUACGGGUGGCAGCAGUGGGGAAUAUUGCGCAAUGGGCGAAAGCCUGACGCAGCGACGCCGCGUGAGGGAUGAAGGUCUUCGGAUCGUAAACCUCUGUCAGCAGGGAAGUAAGGUCCCUGUGCUAAUCAGCAGUGAAUUGACGGUACCUGCAAAGGACGCACCGGCUAACUCCGUGCCAGCCGCCGCGGUAAUACGGAGGGUGCGAGCGUUAAUCGGAAUUACUGGGCGUAAAGCGCUCGUAGGCGGUAUGUCAAGUCAAGGGUGAAAUCCCCGGGCUCAACGUGGGAACUGCCUUUGAAACUGGCAAACUGGAGUGUGUGAAGGGAUAGUGGAAUUCCAGGUGUAGGAGUGAAAUCCGUAGAUAUCAGGAGGAACAUCAGUGGCGAAGGCGACUAUCUGGCACAUAACUGACGCUGAGGAGCGAAAGCGUGGGUAGCAAACAGGAUUAGAUACCCGUGUAGUC
Molecule: ribosomal RNA, 465 nt
Filed under: uncultured bacterium
Lineage: Bacteria
Description: partial 16S ribosomal RNA
Rfam family: Bacterial small subunit ribosomal RNA
Source: RNAcentral